GUCUUGAGAGAGCUUGAGUGUCGAUCUAGGAUCAGGUAUGUUUGAACAGGAGUGUUACUAUCCAUUAGGUUGGUUCCCCAACACUGUUACUAUCCAUUCUACCAUUCGGUUGGUACCCCAACACUGUUACUAUCCAUUCUACCAUUAGGUUGGUUCCCCAACACUGUUACUAUCCAUUCUACCAUUAGGUUGGUACCCCAACACUGUUACUAUCCAUUCUACCAUUAGGUUGGUACCCCAACACUGUUACUAUCCAUUCUACCAUUAGGUUGGUACCCCAACACUGUUACUAUCCAUUCUACCAUUAGGUUGGUUCCCCAACACUGUUACUAUCCAUUCUACCAUUAGGUUGGUUCCCCAACACUGUUACUAUCCAUUCUACCAUUAGGUUGGUUCCCCAACACUGUUACUAUCCAUUCUACCAUUAGGUUGGUACCCCAACACUGUUACUAUCCAUUCUACCAUUAGGUCGGUACCCCAACACUGUUACUAUCCAUUCUACCAUUAGGUCGGUACCCCAACACUGUUACUAUCCAUUCUACCAUUAGGUCGGUACCCCAACACUGUUACUAUCCAUUCUACCAUUAGGUUGGUACCCCAACACUGUUACUAUCCAUUCUACCAUUAGGUUGGUACCCCAACACUGUUACUAUCCAUUCUAC
Molecule: long non-coding RNA, 662 nt
Organism: Oncorhynchus keta (chum salmon)
Lineage: Eukaryota; Metazoa; Chordata; Actinopteri; Salmoniformes; Salmonidae
Exons: 4
Source: RefSeq, a predicted model, not a curated record